GAUCGCAGUGAUGACCACAUAAAAUUCAAGCUCAACAGACCGGAAUGCACGGUUUCAUCCAUUUUCGGAUGUUACUUUGCGUGUCGACAACCCCGCUGAACUGAGCGAUC
Molecule: small nucleolar RNA, 110 nt
Organism: Lotus japonicus
Lineage: Eukaryota; Viridiplantae; Streptophyta; Magnoliopsida; Fabales; Fabaceae
Product: small nucleolar RNA Z107/R87
Exons: 1
Source: RefSeq, a predicted model, not a curated record